GGUUUGUCGCGUUGUUCGUGAAAACUCACAGCUUAACUGUGGGCGUGCGGGCGAUACGGGCAGACUUGAGUACUGCAGGGGAGACUGGAAUUCCUGGUGUAGCGGUGGAAUGCGCAGAUAUCAGGAGGAACACCGGUGGCGAAGGCGGGUCUCUGGGCAGUAACUGACGCUGAGGAGCGAAAGCGUGGGGAGCGAACAGGAUUAGAUACCCUGGUAGUCCACGCCGUAAACGGUGGGUACUAGGUGUGGGUUUCCUUCCUUGGGAUCCGUGCCGUAGCUAACGCAUUAAGUACCCCGCCUGGGGAGUACGGCCGCAAGGCUAAAACUCAAAGAAAUUGACGGGGGCCCGCACAAGCGGCGGAGCAUGUGGAUUAAUUCGAUGCAACGCGAAGAACCUUACCUGGGUUUGACAUGCACAGGACGCCAGUAGAGAUAUUGGUUCCCUUGUGGCCUGUGUGCAGGUGGUGCAUGGCUGUCGUCAGCUCGUGUCGUGAGAUGUUGGGUUAAGUCCCGCAACGAGCGCAACCCUUGUCCUAUGUUGCCAGCGGGUUAUGCCGGGGACUCGUAGGAGACUGCCGGGGUCAACUCGGAGGAAGGUGGGGAUGACGUCAAGUCAUCAUGCCCCUUAUGUCCAGGGCUUCACACAUGCUACAAUGGCCGGUACAAAGGGCUGCGAUGCCGUGAGGUGGAGCGAAUCCUUUCAAAGCCGGUCUCAGUUCGGAUCGGGGUCUGCAACUCGACCCCGUGAAGUCGGA
This 755-nucleotide ribosomal RNA is filed under the name uncultured bacterium. Its description in RNAcentral is "bacterial SSU rRNA". It matches the Rfam family "Bacterial small subunit ribosomal RNA", at positions 577 to 1330 of the family's 1533-position model. The record is from RNAcentral.